Molecule: long non-coding RNA, 1505 nt
Filed under: Erythranthe guttata (spotted monkey flower)
Lineage: Eukaryota; Viridiplantae; Streptophyta; Magnoliopsida; Lamiales; Phrymaceae
Description: long non-coding RNA (EGUT_LNC003158)
Source: RNAcentral
UCUCGACGAAUCCUUCACCACCUUCUGCGCAUCACGAAAAAUGCAAACACCCGCAGAAUUAGCUUAAUUAUCAAAACGACGAUGAGCGGAAAUCUCGUUUGAGAUGAAAAGUAAUUAAUACAGGAUUGCAAAAUUAAGCAGUCCACAGUCAUGGAUAACGAAAACAAAAAGGGGCAGAAUUACAUGAGUACCUGACCGGAGCGGCCGAGAGUGAUAGUUACUUGAGGCUUCGCCAUUUUAUAAAUUUCUCAAUCAAUUGCUUCUACGGCUGAGUUGACUCAUUAAUACAGAGGUUUCUGUACUCGCAACCGUUGACGAGCACGCGAAUCAACCUAGGGUUGCAAAAAUUAGUUAACUGGAAUUUUCCGAUUGUAGGCGGAGAAAUGGCUGGGGGAAAACAGAUGGAGAACAUAUGACGAAGAGCAUGAGGAAGAAUUGGCAUUGCUAAAUCGACGAUCAUCACUGCUCCGAAAAGACUCCGACGACGGUCUUUUGCUUCCGGAUAGCACCAAAGCAUUCCGGCGAACUCCAUUGGAAUCUCUCGACGAAUCCUUCACCAGCUUCUGCGCAUCACGAAAAAUGCAAACACAGGCUAUAAACAGCCUUAAAGAAAGAACAACCCAAAAUUCUGCAUUGAUGAUCUACCAUCUGCCACUACGGAGAGCGAAUAAACAACCGUCAGUAUGAUUACUUUAAUUUUACAUUCGAAAAGACGAAAAUAGAUGAAAACUUGCCAAAUAGUCCUCCCUCACACCCGACGACGGUCUUUUGCUUCCGGAUAGCACCAAAGCAUUCCGGCGAACUCCAUUAGAAUCUCUCGACGAAUCCUUCACCAGCUUCUGCGCAUCACGAAAAAUGCAAACACAGGCUAUAAACAGCCUUAAAGAAAGAACAACCCAAAAUUCUGCAUUGAUGAUCUACCAUCUGCCACUACGGAGAGCGAAUAAACAACCGUCAGUAUGAUUACUUUAAUUUUACAUUCGAAAAGACGAAAAUAGAUGAAAACUUGCCAAAUAGUCCUCCCUCACACCAAAUUUGGUUUGAAUAAAGUUGGAGUGUAGCCGCGUAGGUAAGCAAUUGCCAGUAACAGCCGGUCGAGCAAAUUCAAUAAUUUCUGCAUCGAUUAACAAUAAGAGGUAACUAAGCAAGCAUAUUUACCAAUUAAAUAUCUGGACGAGGAAAGCUAAAGACAAAAAAAUAUGCUGAAAUGUCCUACAAAAAGAAAUUCAAUUUAUAUAUGCUGAUCAACAUAUGCCUUUAUACAUUUGAACAAUUCAAUAAGAGUCAAAACCGUUAGCAAUAAAGAAAAUUUACUUCUUUGUUCAAUGAAGGCAAGAUAUGAAUGAAAAACAACGAACAAAAAUAUUGUUAUUGAUAAAAGUAGGCAGAAGUUUGAAACUUGUUACCCGAUAUUUUCUCAAGCAAGACUAAAUAGUGGUCCGAUAUCCAUUCAUACUCUUUCUCCCCCACUUACUGCAAUAUCGGACACAAUUCAUCCCCCGCCC